UGGACAAUGGGCGCAAGCCUGAAUCCAGCCAUGCCGCGAUGCAGGAUGAAGGCCUUCGGGUUGUAAACUGCUUUUGUACGGAACGAAACGGCCUUUUCUAAUAAAGANGGCUAAUGACGGUACCGUAAGAAUAAGCACCGGCUAACUACGUGCCAGCAGCCGCGGUAAUACGUAGGGUGCAAGCGUUAAUCGGAAUUCUGGGCGUAAAGCGUGCGCAGGCGGUUAUGUAAGACAGUUGUGAAAUCCCCGGGCUCAACCUGGGAACUGCAUCUGUGACUGCAUAGCUAGAGUACGGUAGAGGGGGAUGGAAUUCCGCGUGUAGCAGUGAAAUGCGUAGAUAUGCGGAGGAACACCGAUGGCGAAGGCAAUCCCCUGGACCUGUACUGACGCUCAUGCACAAAACCGUGGGGAGCAAACAGGAUUAAAUACCCUGGUAGUCCACCCCCCUAAACGAUGUCAACUGGUUGUUUGGGAAAUUCACCUUUCUCAGUAACGAAAGCUAACNCGUGAAGUUUGAACCCCCUGGGG
Molecule: ribosomal RNA, 528 nt
Filed under: Variovorax sp. L1c
Lineage: Bacteria; Pseudomonadati; Pseudomonadota; Betaproteobacteria; Burkholderiales; Comamonadaceae
Description: bacterial SSU rRNA
Rfam family: Bacterial small subunit ribosomal RNA
Source: RNAcentral